This 491-nucleotide ribosomal RNA is filed under the name uncultured bacterium. Its description in RNAcentral is "partial 16S ribosomal RNA". It matches the Rfam family "Bacterial small subunit ribosomal RNA", at positions 29 to 507 of the family's 1533-position model. The record is from RNAcentral.
AGUGAACGCUGGCGGUAGGCCUAACACAUGCAAGUCGAACGGCAGCACAGUAAGAGCUUGCUCUUACGGGUGGCGAGUGGCGGACGGGUGAGGAAUACAUCGGAAUCUACUUUUUCGUGGGGGUUACGGAAGGAAAACUUAGGUUAUAACCCCAUAGACCUACCGGUGAAAACAAGGGAACCUCCGGACUUGCGCCGAUGGAUGAGGCGGAGUCGGAUUAGCUAGUUGGCGGGGUAAAGGCCCACCAAGGCGACGAACCGUAGCUGGUCUGAGAGGAUGAUCAGCCACACUGGAACUGAGACACGGUCCAGACUCCUACGGGAGGCAGCAGUGGGGAAUAUUGGACAAUGGGCGCAAGCCUGCUCCAGCCAUACCGCGUGGGUGAAGAAGGCCUUCGGGUUGUAAAGCCCUUUUGUUGGGAAAGAAAAGCAGCAGGUUAAUACCCCGCUGUUCUGACGGUACCCAAAGAAUAAGCACCGGCUAACUUCGUG